CUGCAGUUGUAGACUGUUAACUCUGUACCCAUAGCCAUUGCAGACCAUUUUUGUGACUACAAUCCAGCUAAUUUAUCCAUUCUGCAUUGGUGAGCUUUUGAGUAGUUUCCAAUUUGAAGUCUAAAAGAAGUCUCCAUGUUUUAGUGAGUCUAUCUAUGCAUUCCUUUUGGGUAUAUAAUCUAGAAAUAGAAUUACUAGGUCAUAAGAGCGUUUAAUUUUAAAAUAAAAACUCUUUUAGGUGGAAGGACAUGGUGGUUUGGGUUCUAGGCUACCCCAUUUACUAUAUUACCUUUAGAGCUAAGACCAAGAAAUAGGGAAGGAUAAUUUUGAUGCAUGGGGCACCAACCUGAAGGUGCUUGGCAUAGAGAAGUCAGGAGGGAGGAGAUAGAUGUGUAUGUGUGUCCAGAAAACCAGUGGAGCCCAGCAGAGGUGCUGGCUCAGCCCUGGCUUAGCUCCACACAAUGCCCUGACUCCCACACCCACCACUGGGGGCCACUGCCCUCUGGGAUGCUCCUGAGCUGAUCCCUCAAUGCUGAUCUGGGUCUGGAAGUUCCCCUCCAGAGCUAGGGCUCUUGGCAGAGCACAUGGUACCAAAAAUAAAAGUUGGAGCCAGCUAGAUGACGUAAGCCUCUGCCAUACAGAACUCUGGAGUCAUGCUGGAAGCACCCAGAAGAGAUUCUCUGGUGCCUCCAUGGCAUCCUCUGCCCUGCUUCAUCUUGUUUCCAGCCAAGUCGUUUGUCCGACAGUCCCUGUCUGGGGGGCUUCCACCUCGAACAGAGAAUCCCUCCUGAUUUCCUUUCUGGGGCCAGUGAAAGACGACAAGUAGGAGGCGGGUAGCCAAGUGAUAACACCUUUGUAAUUCAGCAGGUCUUUGGUGGGCACCUCCAGAAAGCUGCCUCAGGCCACCCAGGGUGAUGUGACUUCACUAUGACACCCCUUCAUAAACCCAGCCCAGAAACCUGGUUAAGUCCUGCCCCUGCUCACUUCCAAUCCUGGGUUUUCUCCCUCCUGGUUCUGAAGGUCUCCUGGAGGCCUUCUGAAAUGAGCAAGACCCAGUUGGUUUCUGGCAGGAAGAGAGCGCCAGGCCACACUUCCAUGUGGAAGAAAUUAUGCACCCGCCUCCUUUUCUAAAACCUCCUUCCAUCUGCCAUCUCCCCUUCCUGUUUCCUGAGCACUUGGUGUUCUCUUGCUGCCUCAGGGAGGGGAUUCUGCUUUGUGCUUUGCCUCAUCCCUCCUCCAUUUCUUCCUCCUCUCCACCACCACUAGGAAGAAGAAGCAGCAAUCGCUACUCCACUUUCCCCUCCCUCUCAUCUUCCUGUCUCAACAAAGGAUUCUUCCACUUCAAUUUAUAAAUUUUUUUUUUCAGUACUGGUGAUUGAAUCCAGGAUCUUGCACAAGCUAGGCAAGUGUGCUACCUCUGAGCUACAUCCCCAGCCCCCCACCUGUUUGUUUUUUGUUUAAACUUUGAGAUAGGGUUUUAUUAAGUUGUCC
RNAcentral lists this long non-coding RNA (1491 nucleotides) under Marmota monax (woodchuck). The record is from RNAcentral. Lineage: Eukaryota; Metazoa; Chordata; Mammalia; Rodentia; Sciuridae.